This 253-nucleotide ribosomal RNA is filed under the name uncultured bacterium. RNAcentral describes it as "partial 16S ribosomal RNA". It matches the Rfam family "Bacterial small subunit ribosomal RNA", at positions 524 to 776 of the family's 1533-position model. The record is from RNAcentral.
UACGUAGGGGGCAAGCGUUAUCCGGAUUUACUGGGUGUAAAGGGGGCGCAGACGGCGAUGCAAGCCAGGAGUGAAAGCCCAGGGCCCAACCCCGGGACUGCUCUUGGAACUGCGUGGCUGGAGUGCAGGAGGGGCAGGCGGAAUUCCUGGUGUAGCGGUGAAAUGCGUAGAUAUCAGGAGGAACACCGGUGGUGAAGGCGGCCUGCUGGACUGCAACUGACGUUGAGGCCCGAAAGCGUGGGGAGCAAACAGG